AAGUGGACUAGGUCGGGCAGUUAGGCCCUGCCCGUCACCCGCGAGAGAGUCUUCAGCGGGGACCGAACGCCGGCGGCGUCCGGGGCGCCCGUCGCGGGCCCCGGAAGCCGACGUCGAAGCCUCGUCCGCCGGGGACAGCGGUCCGUCGGGCCGCACCCGCAGGGGUGCUCGCCCGCGGCUCGUCGGCGGCACCGGGUCAGGCGCGGAAGCGAGCAGCCCACCGCCGAACGCCCGUCGCUCGUCGGGUCGCGGGGCCGAGGAGGCACCCGGGAUUCCCCGCGGCGGAACCCCCGGGCAACGCCGGCCCGUCCACCA
RNAcentral lists this signal recognition particle RNA (315 nucleotides) under Halorarum salinum. Its description in RNAcentral is "Halobaculum salinum Archaeal signal recognition particle RNA". It matches the Rfam family "Archaeal signal recognition particle RNA". Lineage: Archaea; Methanobacteriati; Methanobacteriota; Halobacteria; Halobacteriales; Haloferacaceae. The record is from Rfam by way of RNAcentral.